GAAAUGCGAUACGUAAUGCGAAUUGCAGAGCCCGCGAGUCAUCGAAACUUUGAACGCAUCUUGCGCUUCCGGGUAACCGGGAGCAUGUCUGUUGGAGUGCCUGUUCUCAACCACAACAGCUUACUUUUUUGUGUUGUAAAUUGUAUGCUGUGCGUCGGCUGUUUUCUUCUUUGAAGAAGAGAAAUAGUCCCAGAUGAGAACAAUUGAAACUCCUUCAAAGUGGUUGUGUAUGUAUGCUGCUGCAUGUGGAGUGUCGUGAUGGAUUCAUUUCCCCAACACUCUGGAAAAAACACAUUCGCAUCAUGUCAUCUCAUCUCAACCCUAACUGCUUUUAGGAGCGAAUUAUUUGUAUCGGGCCUCCAAUCAGACAAGAAGACCCGCUGAAUUUAA
RNAcentral lists this unclassified non-coding RNA (390 nucleotides) under uncultured Sordariomycetes. RNAcentral's name for it is "sequence contains ITS1". The stretch from base 1 to 102 matches the Rfam family "5.8S ribosomal RNA", at positions 50 to 154 of the family's 154-position model. The record is from RNAcentral. Lineage: Eukaryota; Fungi; Ascomycota; Sordariomycetes.